Molecule: long non-coding RNA, 293 nt
Organism: Mauremys reevesii (Reeves's turtle)
Lineage: Eukaryota; Metazoa; Chordata; Testudines; Geoemydidae
Exons: 3
Source: RefSeq, a predicted model, not a curated record
UAAAAAGAUCCUCUGUCCCAACAAAAUAGGAGGAGACCCUAACAAGACCCUGGAGAUGGACAAAACUUGAAACUUCGCCCAGUAAAAGCAGAUGCAUCACCCCCCUGACACUUUAAUGGACACUGUAGUUCGCUGUAGGAAGUUCUGUCCUCUGGUGGGGCUGCUGUACAGAUGAAGGAGACCCUGCGUGGAAGGGCUGGGAGCAGUAGAGCCAUGCUGGAAGCAGGGCCGGCUCCAGGCACCAGCUUAUCAAGCAGGUGCUUGGGGCUGCAACUCCGGAGCAGGGCGGCACU